RNAcentral lists this ribosomal RNA (253 nucleotides) under uncultured bacterium. RNAcentral describes it as "partial 16S ribosomal RNA". It matches the Rfam family "Bacterial small subunit ribosomal RNA", at positions 524 to 776 of the family's 1533-position model. The record is from RNAcentral.
UACGUAGGGAGCAAGCGUUGUCCGGAAUCAUUGGGCGUAAAGCGCGCGUAGGUGGCCUCAUAAGUCCGCUGUGAAAGACAAAGGCUCAACCUUUGAAAGCCGGUGGAUACUGUGAGGCUAGAGUACGGAAGAGGCGAGUGGAAUUCCUGGUGUAGCGGUGGAAUGCGCAGAUAUCAGGAGGAACACCAAUAGCGAAGGCAGCUCGCUGGGACGUUACUGACACUGAGGCGCGAAAGCGUGGGGAGCGAACAGG